GGUUUGGUCCUGGCCUUGAAGUCAAUUACUUCUUAAUAUACACAUGCAAGUAUCCGCCCCCCUGUGAAAACGCCCUUAAACUCCCCCAUAGGGACAAGGAGCUGGUAUCAGGCACGAAAUUCUGCCCAAGACACCUAGCUUAGCCACACCCACAAGGGAACUCAGCAGUGAUUAACAUUGAACAUAAGCGACAGCUUGACUCAGUUAAAGAAAAUAGAGCCGGCAAAUCUGGUGCCAGCCGCCGCGGUUAUACCACGUGACUCAAAUUGACCUUAACCGGCGUAAAGCGUGAUUAAAGUUUCUAAAAAUUAAAGUUAAACUGAAAUUAAGCUGUGACACGCUUAUUUUAAGGAAAACCUAAUACGAAAGUUACUUUAACUAAAUCUACUUGAACUCACGACAAUUAGGACACAAACUGGGAUUAGAUACCCCACUAUGCCUAAUCGUAAACUUUAAUUUACAACAAUAUCGCCAGGGAACUACGAGCAAAGCUUAAAACCCAAAGGACUUGACGGUACCCCAAAUCCACCUAGAGGAGCCUGUCCUAUAACCGAUACCCCCCGUUUAACCUCACCAUUUUUAGCCUCUCAGCCUGUAUACCUCCGUCGUCAGCUUACCACGUGAGCGAACACUAGUGAGCUUAAUGUUUAUACACCAACACGUCAGGUCAAGGUGCAGCAUAUGAAAUGGAAAGAGAUGGGCUACACUUUUCUAAUAUAGAAUACACGAAGGACUAUUUAUGAAACCUAGUCUGAAGGGAGGAUUUAGAAGUAAAAAAAACAAGAGCGUUUUCUUUAACUAGGCACUGGGGUGUGUACACACCGCCCGUCACCCUCUUCAAAGCUCAAUUAUAGUAACUAACUUAAAUUCGCUAAACAGAAGAGGCAAGUCGUAACAUGGUAAGUAUACCGGAAGGUGUGCUUGGAA
Molecule: non-coding RNA, 927 nt
Filed under: Engystomops guayaco
Lineage: Eukaryota; Metazoa; Chordata; Amphibia; Anura; Leptodactylidae
Description: partial 12S ribosomal RNA
Rfam family: Bacterial small subunit ribosomal RNA
Source: RNAcentral